GUGUCAAUAUGCCCUAACAGUGUUAAAGUAUAGCUGGGACAUACUGACAUCCUAAUGUCAUUCAAGUGUUAGGCACCCAGAACUGGCUGAGAAGAAAGGAAGAAAAAACAGAGGAAUUAUCUUUGUUUUUUACCCAGAACUGGCUGGCUAAUGACUCCCAAGUGCUAUGAUCACUUCAUCCAGGCCCUAAUUAAAAAAAAAAAAAAAUCUGAACUAUUUAUGUGUAAUGUUUCUCUACUUAUUAAUAGGAAAAUAAGUUACAUAUACACCACUUUUAGUAGUUUAGUAACCAACUUUGACCUCAACUUCUGAAAAUAAAAGGCAUUCACCAUCAUUUAGCAUCUAUAAGAUACACCACUUAUUAAGCUACUGCAAGAUUACAUAGAGUUACCAGUGCUAAAUAAGAAACACUUCUAUGUUGGGAUAAGGUCUUUAAAGGGAUACCCUACUGCCCAAAUACAAAAAAACAAACAAAAAACUAUUUAAUAAGAAAUCAGUGUAGUAGAUAUAUCCCCAAUGAAAACAUGCAUGUAUUUAAUUAUUUUUCAUUGGGCAUUUAUCUGUAAAUGCUGAAGAUCUCUUGUCUGAAG
This is a non-coding RNA of Pelobates cultripes (western spadefoot toad), 590 nucleotides long. NCBI's taxonomy places the organism in Eukaryota, Metazoa, Chordata, Amphibia, Anura, Pelobatidae. The record is from the annotation of a GenBank genome assembly.